Non-coding RNA from Caenorhabditis elegans, 146 nucleotides. The record is from Ensembl. NCBI's taxonomy places the organism in Eukaryota, Metazoa, Nematoda, Chromadorea, Rhabditida, Rhabditidae.
AAAGCCAAUGGAUGGAAUGGGUCCAAUUUGCGUACCCUUCUGCUUUUGCUUCUUCUCCUCUAUUCCUUCUUUCCCUCCGCCACCAGGACUCCAACGGUGGCGUCGGUUUUGGGGUGUAAUAAAACUUUAUGAGGAGACGGCAAUUU